AGCGGGUGAAAAGCCCGCUCGCCGGAAGACCAAGGGUUCCUGUCCAACGUUAAUCGGGGCAGGGUGAGUCGACCCCUAAGGCGAGGCCGAAAGGCGUAGUCGAUGGGAAACGGGUUAAUAUUCCCGUACUUGGUGUUACUGCGAAGGGGGGACGGAGAAGGCUAUGUUGGCCGGGCGACGGUUGUCCCGGUUUAAGCGURUAGGUGUGUGUUCCAGGUAAAUCCGGUUCACUUUAACACUGAGGCGUGAYGACGAGGCRCUACGGUGCUGAAGCAACAAAUGCCCUGCUUCCAGGAAAAGCCUCUAAGCAUCAGGUAACAUCAAAUCGUACCCCAAACCGACACAGGUGGUCAGGUAGAGAAUACCAAGGCGCUUGAGAGAACUCGGGUGAAGGAACUAGGCAAAAUGGUGCCGUAACUUCGGGAGAAGGCACGCUGACAUGUAGGUGAAGUGAUUUACUCAYGGAGCUGAAGUCAGUCGAAGAUACCAGCUGGCUGCAACUGUUUAUUAAAAACACAGCACUGUGCAAACACGAAAGUGGACGUAUACGGUGUGACGCCUGCCCGGUGCCGGAAGGUUAAUUGAUGGGGUCAGCGCAAGCGAAGCUCCUGAUCGAAGCCCCGGUAAACGGCGGCCGUAACUAUAACGGUCCUAAGGUAGCGAAAUUCCUUGUCGGGUAAGUUCCGACCUGCACGAAUGGCGUAAUGAUGGCCAGGCUGUCUCCACCCGAGACUCAGUGAAAUUGAACUCGCUGUGAAGAUGCAGUGUACCCGCGGCAAGACGGAAAGACCCCGUGAACCUUUACUAUAGCUUGACACUGAACAUUGAGCCUUGAUGUGUAGGAUAGGUGGGAGGCUUUGAAGUGUGGACGCCAGUCUGCAUGGAGCCGACCUUGAAAUACCACCCUUUAAUGUUUGAUGUUCUAACGUGGACCCGURAUCCGGGUUGCGGACAGUGUCUGGUGGGUAGUUUGACUGGGGCGGUCUCCUCCUAAAGAGUAACGGAGGAGCACGAAGGUUGGCUAAUCCUGGUCGGACAUCAGGAGGUUAGUGCAAUGGCAUAAGCCAGCUUGACUGCGAGCGUGACGGCGCGAGCAGGUGCGAAAGCAGGUCAUAGUGAUCCGGUGGUUCUGAAUGGAAGGGCCAUCGCUCAACGGAUAAAAGGUACUCCGGGGAUAACAGGCUGAUACCGCCCAAGAGUUCAUAUCGACGGCGGUGUUUGGCACCUCGAUGUCGGCUCAUCACAUCCUGGGGCUGAAGUAGGUCCCAAGGGUAUGGCUGUUCGCCAUUUAAAGUGGUACGCGAGCUGGGUUUAGAACGUCGUGAGACAGUUCGGUCCCUAUCUGCCGUGGGCGCUGGAGAACUGAGGGGGGCUGCUCCUAGUACGAGAGGACCGGAGUGGACGCAUCACUGGUGUUCGGGUUGUCAUGCCAAUGGCACUGCCCGGUAGCUAAAUGCGGAAGAGAUAAGUGCUGAAAGCAUCUAAGCACGAAACUUGCCCCGAGAUGAGUUCUCCCUGAGACUUUAGGUCUCCUGAAGGAACGUUGAAGACGACGACGUUGAUAGGCCGGGUGUGUAAGCGCAGCGAUGCGUUGAGCUAACCGGUACUAAUGAACCGUGAGGCUUAACCUU
This 1631-nucleotide ribosomal RNA is filed under the name Salmonella enterica subsp. enterica serovar Oranienburg str. S-76. Its description in RNAcentral is "partial 23S ribosomal RNA". The record is from RNAcentral. Lineage: Bacteria; Pseudomonadati; Pseudomonadota; Gammaproteobacteria; Enterobacterales; Enterobacteriaceae.